This 203-nucleotide long non-coding RNA is filed under the name Mytilus galloprovincialis (Mediterranean mussel). The record is from RNAcentral. Lineage: Eukaryota; Metazoa; Mollusca; Bivalvia; Mytilida; Mytilidae.
AAAAAACAGAAGUUCCAACUAAUGAUGCCAACCUCUCAUUUAAAGGUAAAGACAUUGUUUGCCAUCAACUUGUUUUUAAAAAUCAUAUAGUUUCUUCGUUUAUUUGUUAAGCAAAGUUCGGCCCCACGAGAAAUCGUUAAAAUAUAUACAUUAUCAACUGAUUUACCAUAGACAGUAUGUGUAAAGUGUUAUUCAAAAAGCGG